UUUAGCAAUUUGCUCCAUUCUCUCAGCUUCUUUGUUCCACUCGCUCCAGCGAGGUUCUAUUGUUUCUUGUUUAGUGAUUUGAUCCUCGUACCUUGUAGCUUCACUAGGAUAGUCUUCUCCUUCCUUCUUUGAGAGUAGAUUUGCUCUACGGCGAGAUUGGCGUCUCCUACUUUGAAUCUUCUAGGGUGAAUUAUUGUUAGUGUAACUAUUGAAGUCACAACGUACCUUGCCAACGGGGAGGUGGAAGUGAACUUGUCCGGAUCUCAUGUAGAGGAUUGCAUUGGCAGUGUUGAGG
This 295-nucleotide long non-coding RNA is filed under the name Sorghum bicolor (sorghum). RNAcentral describes it as "long non-coding RNA (SBIC_LNC006316)". Lineage: Eukaryota; Viridiplantae; Streptophyta; Magnoliopsida; Poales; Poaceae. The record is from RNAcentral.